UAUCUUUCUAAUCCGGUGAUAAUUGAUUAUUGUGCUGUUUUUUUCGAUUUCGUUGAAUGGAAACUAAUCCUUUCGUUUUUCUGUUGCAGAUGAAUCGGUAUAAACUAUCGAUCGUGCUCCUGCUCUUGAGCACGGUGGCCAUUGCUUUGGCCAAUGAGGCCAACGAAGAAGCCUUGAAGGACGCAGAUUCAGACUCUACUCACACGGGUGCCGAGCCUCAGAAGCGCUCCCUUAAGAAGUUCAAAAAGCUCAAAAAGCUGGCACUCCUUAAAAAAAAGGGGCCUUGGUUCCUUCCAGAGUUCGAGGUCGAAGAGGUCAAAGAAACUUCACCUCUCCCCGUGUUUAAAGUACACAAAUACGCCGGGAUCGAAGUCAAGCCUAUCCCCACCACCCCGCCACCACCACCCCCACCGCCGGCAGUCUACGGACCACCAUCGCCACCGCCAACCGUCUACGGACCACCCGAAGCCGCUGCAGCAGCCGUAGCUACCUCUGAAGGCAAAGGAAACCCCGACCUGGCAAUCCUCGACUCCCUGGGCCCCCUCGUCUCCGGCGAAGGCGGUGUGGAUCUAUCCGCUCUUUUGAGCAUCGCUGGUAGCGGUGAAAUCCCGUUGGAAGCCAUUGAAACCCUCUCCCAGAUCGCCAAGACCAACCCCAAACUCGUGGCCAGCAUCGUAAACGGACUGAAGAACCCCAAGAAGGCCAAGAAAGCUGGCAUCAUCGCUGCUUUGCUGAAACUCAAGGCCAAGAAGAAGCUCCUGAAGAAGAAGCCACUGAAACUCUUGGCCAAGGGAGUCGCCGCCAAGGCCGCCAUCACCAAGAAGAAGCUCUUCACCCCCUUCGCUUUGGUGGCCGCUGAGGGCGCCAAGGUCGCAUCCGCAGUCUCCUCCAUCCCCUCCAACAUCGCCGGCUACAUCUGGCCUGAAGAAGAAACCGGACCCUACGAAGCCGAGCUCCCCUCCCCGCAAGAAGUUUCACCCCUCUUCUCCCUUGAAGCUCUAUCACCCCUCCCCGGUCUCCCGCUCCUGAAAUUCCCCGGCAAAUACAAGCUCAAGAAGCACCACCCUUAUGUCAGCGUUAAGCUCCCAACCACCCAUCAACCCGCACCUCCCCCACCACCACCCACACCAGCGCCCGUCUACGGACCUCCACCGCCAGUAGAGCCCGUCCACGUCUAUGGUCCCCCUCCACCACCACCACCACCACCACCACCACCACCUCCACCACCAGCACCCCCCGUAGAUGUUUACGGCCCACCCCAAGCCCCAGCAGCCACCUACGGCGUGCCCUCUGCCCUUGCCCCCGGUACCCACCUCGAACCCCCUCCACUACCCUUGGAUACCCCCAGACAAGUAGCAGCCGCCGCUGCAGUUGACUCCUACCAAGUUCCAAUUGCUGUCUACGCCCAAGGCCAGCGCUUCAUCACCCCGGCCGGCACGACGCUGACCGCACCUGCUUACUACAACGUCGACUCAUUCUUGGCAGCCUCGGAGAACGACGAGGUGGAGGCAGAAGGUGACGAAGGCCACGAGGAGGUUGAGGAGAUCGAGCACGUGGUGGCACGAGGAAACCACAGCGAGCACGCCGAACACGGAAAGCAGACGGCUCAUGCUCUGCCAUCCCACAAUGUCCACCAUGUCCAGGCUGAGCGUGAACACGCUCACCACGCUGAACACGCUCAGCGUGCUGAACACGGGCAUGAGGCUGCCGAGCAUGAACACGUGCAAAGACCAGUGACCAAUCAGAUGAGGAGGUCGCCACCUCCGGCCGAGCAGAAGCACGAACAGCAGCCAGAGCAGUUUGUGCGAGGAGAAGUUUUCGUCGUUCCUCUUAACCAUGCUACCGAAGACACACAUCAACAGGAGCAUGCCAGUGAAGAAUCAAAUUCUGGAUCUCAUUAAUUUUGAGAUUCUCCAGCAAUGAUGCCAUAUCAUUAAUUUAAUCCAGCACCGAUGGAGGGUUUUACAAAUAUGUCUAUGUGCAUAGUUCCUUUCUGUAUACCCCCACCCUCACUCUACCGUUCCAUGAGACAUGUGCCAUUACACCAAAGAGCGCUAAUGACACGAGGCAUGUCUGCAAAUUUCUGAACAACGAGAGUCGUGCAAUCCAACGCCACGAUGACUUCGGAAUGUUGUUCGUCUGAUUCAUGGUUUAUGCGUUUGCGUCGAGUAAGUUAUGAAUGAGUUGCAGCAAGUGAUAGGUCUCACCAACCAGGAUCGGAUGCAACGCUGCCAAAGUGUCUCGAAAUUGGCUGACGUUCACUCAACGUACCGUUAAAAAUCAAAACAAAAUUGGCCGCAUUCAGAAAGGAAACAAAAAGCGCCCUGGAGGGAGGGACUAAGUGUUUCCGAGAACCUCGGGGUCCUCCUCGCAAAUUGAUGAUGAAACUAAUAAACCACAUACUUAUAUUUCAGUUUUUAAAAAUGUCUGCUCUGGGUUUAUAUUUUAGGAAAAGAAAGAAUUUGUUUAGAUGCGAAAUAAUUGCAUGAUAUUAUUUAUAGAGCAAUGGGAAAGGUGG
Molecule: long non-coding RNA, 2518 nt
Filed under: Bemisia tabaci
Lineage: Eukaryota; Metazoa; Arthropoda; Insecta; Hemiptera; Aleyrodidae
Description: lncRNA ENSSSA1UGG001307
Source: RNAcentral